Long non-coding RNA from Numida meleagris (helmeted guineafowl), 333 nucleotides. RefSeq lists it as uncharacterized. The transcript has 3 exons. The record is from RefSeq and is a predicted model, not a curated record. Lineage: Eukaryota; Metazoa; Chordata; Aves; Galliformes; Numididae.
CGGCGGAGAAAGCACGUGGUCCUCUUGCAGUUUACUGUGGAGACAGGGGAGAAGUGCUACAAGGAGUAGCAACUUUAUUUCCAAGACAAACUGUGUACCCUUUGAAACACAAGAAAGCAAGAAGAGAUUCUUUCAAGACUCUUUGAUCUCCUUCCACGAUCUUUUUAUCAAUUUACAAAGGCAGAGAACCCCUGUAGCAUAAGAGUAGUGAAGAACAAGCAUUUGAACAGGUGGGAAGAGAUUCCAAAGAUGUUCCAGAUGAAAUUCAAAGAGAAAAGAUAAAUUGUGUGAAGAGCUGAAAGAAAAAAAGAAUGAUGUAGAGAUACCAUCCAA